GGGGAUAAUCGGGAGAAAUCCCGUCUAAUACCGCGUAAUGCCGCGGGGCUGCAUGGCCCUGCGGCCAAAGGGAGCGAUUCCGGCAACGGAUGGGCAUGCGUGACAUUAGCUAGUUGGCGGGGCAACGGCCCACCAAGGCGACGAUGUCUAGGGGUUCUGAGAGGAAGGUCCCCCACACUGGUACUGAGACACGGACCAGACUCCUACGGGAGGCAGCAGUGAGGAAUAUUGGUCAAUGGGCGCGAGCCUGAACCAGCCAAGUCGCGUGAGGGAUGACGGCCCUACGGGUUGUAAACCUCUUUUGUCGGGGAGCAAAUUCCGCCACGUGUGGCGGAGUCGAGAGUACCCGAAGAAAAAGCAUCGGCUAACUCCGUGCCAGCAGCCGCGGUAAUACGGAGGAUGCGAGCGUUAUCCGGAUUUAUUGGGUUUAAAGGGUGCGUAGGCGGACUGUCAAGUCAGCGGUAAAAUACGGGGGCUCAACCUCCGCCCGCCGUUGAAACUGACGGUCUUGAGUGGGCGAGAAGUAUGCGGAAUGCGUGGUGUAGCGGUGAAAUGCAUAGAUAUCACGCAGAACUCCGAUUGCGAAGGCAGCAUACCGGCGCCCGUCUGACGCUGAAGCACGAAAGCGUGGGUAUCGAACAGGAUUAGAUACCCUGGUAGUCCACGCAGUAAACGAUGAA
This 680-nucleotide ribosomal RNA is filed under the name uncultured bacterium. RNAcentral describes it as "bacterial SSU rRNA". It matches the Rfam family "Bacterial small subunit ribosomal RNA", at positions 139 to 813 of the family's 1533-position model. The record is from RNAcentral.